AGAUUUAGCUGGCCAGGGAGAAAAUAUGAAGAUAUCAGAAAGGGUUAUUUUUUUCCAGGGUGUGGCUCAGUCAUUGCAAGAUGGCUGUGAAGACCUCUCUCAGUUCCCCAUAUGUGGGGAAAUUUGCCUACACAAUUUGUGGUCAUCUUUGUGCAUAAAGAU
This is a small nuclear RNA of Gracilinanus agilis (Agile Gracile Mouse Opossum), 162 nucleotides long. RefSeq annotates it as U1 spliceosomal RNA. NCBI's taxonomy places the organism in Eukaryota, Metazoa, Chordata, Mammalia, Didelphimorphia, Didelphidae. The transcript has a single exon. The record is from RefSeq and is a predicted model, not a curated record.